AGAGCAUGGUGUAAUGGUAGCACGAAGAAUUUUGAAUUCUUAUGAUUAGGUUCAAAUCCUGUUGUUCUAG
This 70-nucleotide transfer RNA is filed under the name Tamias canipes (gray-footed chipmunk). Its description in RNAcentral is "tRNA-Gln". It matches the Rfam family "tRNA". From Rfam's summary of the family: Transfer RNA (tRNA) molecules are approximately 80 nucleotides in length. Their secondary structure includes four short double-helical elements and three loops (D, anti-codon, and T loops). Lineage: Eukaryota; Metazoa; Chordata; Mammalia; Rodentia; Sciuridae. The record is from RNAcentral.